GGGGGAAGGGAGGCCGGCCCAGGGCGCUUGCCCUUUUCCUUUCUAUUUUUUUUAUUCAAAAGGGUUUAAACCAAAUUUUCAACACCUUUAUAAACCAAAAUUUGAUUUAUUAAUUUGGGUCGUUUUGAGAAUUGUUUUCUCUACUGCUUUUGAAAACAAAGCAUUUUUUUUUCUUAAUAACAUAUUUUUAAAUUAUUUUUCCACUCAAAUAUAAAUUAGUUUUCAAAUAUGAAUUUUGGAGUUUUAUUUUUUUGAAAACCGAAAGGACCUAAACGUGCUCUCUAGAAAUUUUGAAAUUCAUUUUUCUGAGACAAGCCAAACAAAGCUAGGGCACAAAACACACAUCAAAUAAAACACCCUCCACUUAAUUUAUUAAAAGUUUUAAAAUUCCACAUUUUUCUCAUUUUAUAUUAACAACAAUGAAUAAAAUCUUGGAAUAUUUUACAAAAAUUUUAAAUCCUUGUUAAAUUUAGUAUUUUCUAAUAACAAUCCAAAAUUAAAAAUUUUGGAGUGUUAUAGAUCUACCCCACUUAACAUAAAUCUCGUCCCGAGAUUUGAAGGAACUAGAGAGAAAGAUAAAGUAGAUCAUCAAAGUUGUUUCGAGACUUUUAAGACGUGAUCAAAGGAUUAAAGAUGGACAUAAAGGGUAUAGAGUAUGGUAAAGAUUGGUGACAAGGAAAGAUAAACGUAUGAGAUAAGAAUUGAUCUUUGGAUCCUGUAUUAUGAUAAGGUGCAAGGGCAAGAAGCCAAUAUUAAAAAGAGAUGAUACAUAGGAGAUAAAGAUAGAUAUUAUUGUGCUCACAAUUUCCUUGAUUCCAAAUAUGCAUAAGAUAGUAGAUGAAAGGAUAAAGAAUUACCAAAAGUUGACAAAGACUUAGAUUUUUUUUUUGUCUUCACGCUUAAUCAUUUGUAGUCCUAUGAGAUGUAAGAUCCAAGAUCACACGUUGACAAAAAUGAUAAGGGCUCAUCGCAAGAAUGAUAA
This 982-nucleotide long non-coding RNA is filed under the name Sorghum bicolor (sorghum). Its description in RNAcentral is "long non-coding RNA (SBIC_LNC004535)". Lineage: Eukaryota; Viridiplantae; Streptophyta; Magnoliopsida; Poales; Poaceae. The record is from RNAcentral.